RNAcentral lists this non-coding RNA (30 nucleotides) under Homo sapiens (human). Lineage: Eukaryota; Metazoa; Chordata; Mammalia; Primates; Hominidae. The record is from RNAcentral.
UGGGACCUGGGUCUGAAACGAGCUGAACUC